This is a long non-coding RNA of Carassius auratus (goldfish), 685 nucleotides long. RefSeq lists it as uncharacterized. The transcript is spliced from 2 exons. The record is from RefSeq and is a predicted model, not a curated record. Lineage: Eukaryota; Metazoa; Chordata; Actinopteri; Cypriniformes; Cyprinidae.
CAGGAGGUUUUAAACAGGACCUUCACAAUCUUCAGCACUGACUAGAAAUGGCAUCAAAAUCAGGGUCAGAGACAUGUAUGAGCCAGGUGAUGUGAGAACAAAAGCACACAGAGAGAGGCAGCUGAACCAGCAUCCAGACGUUCUCUUCAGAAUAUAUUGUGAAGACCGUCUGCAUGUUCUGCUCUUCAGACCCACGGAUGACAGCUGGUGGAUCAAUAAACUUAAGGAUAGAUAUGGAAGAAUCUCUUCUCAGUGGACUUUCAAACAUGAUGAUAACCAGCCGAUUCGGCACGCGAUAAAUCUCUCCGGGAAUCGGGAUGAGCUGCAAAGAUUCUGUGCAUGAGUUUCCUCGCAAUCUACAGUCGUGUCGUGCCCAUGUUCAGGAAGAUCUGGAAACAGCCAUUCAAGACCUCAGAGUAGAAAACAGCGGACUUGGACAACAAUUAAGAGGAGCGCCCUAAAACAUGAGAGACCACGAAGACAAGAAGAUCUGCAUCUUUCGAUCAGAUUCAAAGCAGACCAAACAUGAAUUACUAUUAUUUCUUAUAUUUCUCUUCUCUGUCAUAUUAAAGUCAGACUGUAAUCAAAUCUGUCACACUUCUUACUCCAGUGAAUAUUUCUCAUUGUGUGUUUAUUGUUGAAAGUCUAUGUAAACGCAAACUUUAUUAAAAACAUGGUGACUAAA